GGGCCCGCACAAGCGGUGGAGCAUGUGGUUUAAUUCGAAGCAACGCGAAGAACCUUACCAGUCCUUGACAUGGGUAGUUUGGUUAUUGGAGACAAUUUCCUUCAGUUCGGCUGGCUACCACACAGGUGCUGCACGGCUGUCGUCAGCUCGUGUCGUGAGAUGUUGGGUUAAGUCCCGCAACGAGCGCAACCCUCAUCUUUAGUUGCCAUCGGUUCGGCCGGGCACUCUAAAGAAACUGCCUGCGAUGAGCAGGAGGAAGGCGGGGACGACGUCAAGUCAUCAUGGCCCUUAUGGACUGGGCUACACACGUGCUACAAUGGCGGUGACAACAGGCAGCGAAGGGGUGACCUGGAGCAAAUCCUAAAAAGCCGUCCCAGUUCGGAUUGUACUCUGCAACUCGAGUACAUGAAGUUGGAAUCGCUAG
This 424-nucleotide ribosomal RNA is filed under the name uncultured bacterium. RNAcentral's name for it is "bacterial SSU rRNA". It matches the Rfam family "Bacterial small subunit ribosomal RNA", at positions 917 to 1338 of the family's 1533-position model. The record is from RNAcentral.